RNAcentral lists this long non-coding RNA (1214 nucleotides) under Anas platyrhynchos platyrhynchos (common mallard). Its description in RNAcentral is "lncRNA (ENSAPLG00000021663.1)". Lineage: Eukaryota; Metazoa; Chordata; Aves; Anseriformes; Anatidae. The record is from RNAcentral.
AGUGAAAUGCCACAUUUUGUAUUGAUUCGCUGUACGUUUCUUGGUCCACAUCACGAUGCUCAUCUCGUUCCUUAAGAUAUGUAGUGGAUUUGGAUCAGGUAGCUCUGUGACCAUUUCUCUCUGUGUUAUACCGCAGCAGCUGAAAUAUCCUGGGGAGUUAAUUGCCACCCAUCUAUAACUCUCAUGACCUCAGUUAUUGUCUUCCCUCCAACCUCCUCCAUUUGAAGGCUGUGGUAAACACCCUGAUGUUGUUUAUGUCUGAAAAUUUUCCAAAUUCCUUCUUUCAGGAGGCUUUCAAUUUGUAUAGAGCAAAGAAACUAUAUCUUGGUGCUUAAAUUCAAUUCCGUGAUAUCAGGUGCUCUAGAAAUAUCUUCAGAUAGUUGCAUUGUCUUUUCCAAGACUGCAUCUGUGCUCAUUUGUUUAAGUCUGUCAGCUGCCUUUGCUGACUGCAAUUUUUUGCUGAUAUGUGCUGCAGCUCUUGCCUGAGUUUGAAAUAUGCUCUUAGGGGUUAUGUUCUUACAGGUGGUGGUUUGGUCACUGAUUUUAGCUCUCCUCAGGGUCUCAUCCAUGAGCUUUGGUCAGUCGUUCUUUCCUGAUCACUGAUGCAAUCUCUCUCUUCAUUUAAUUCCCUAAACUAAUAUCUAGAAUGAAUUUGAUGCUUACCUCACAUUAGCUCAGAAGCUCUUCCCUGACUUUGGUAGGGGUAUCACUCUGGUGGCAAACAGUUAUACAUUCUUUUAAAACAUUGUAAAUGAAGCCCUGGUCAUUUCUGUAAUGCCUGUAUUUUUUCUGAAACUUAUAAAAAGGGGCUAAAUAUAUGGAUGUUUAAGAACACAUUUUAGCCAAUACCAAUAUGCUCCUGUAUGCAAUAUAAGCAUUUCUGUGGGCUUGCACUUUUUGAAGUAAAAACUCUAAAAGUAAAUUCCAGGAGUAAGUAGUGAUAUUUCUUCUGUUUAUCUACCUUGCUAUAUUAUUCCAGCUAAGAAACCAUGCUUUACUACUGCUGUUUUCUGCAUAAUUUCUACCAGUUGUGGGUGCUAAUAGCAAUAGAAAGCUCUCUGCUUCAUAAAUGGCCAUUUGGAAAACCUAGAAGAGCUGUGGUGCAGAGCGCAUCAUUUCAACACGUGAAGAAUUUUCCUUGAUUUCUGAACAUCUCUCUUCUUCACUGGGGUAGAACUGCCCAUUGCUACCUCCUUCCUUGCUUUCACUGUAUU